Long non-coding RNA from Toxorhynchites rutilus septentrionalis, 497 nucleotides. RefSeq lists it as uncharacterized. The transcript has 4 exons. Lineage: Eukaryota; Metazoa; Arthropoda; Insecta; Diptera; Culicidae. The record is from RefSeq and is a predicted model, not a curated record.
AAUUGAGCAAUCUCAGUAGCAAGAUGGGUCGUUCAAGUUGCUGUUUGAUAAUCUUCGCUGUAACUAUAAUACUAUUGGGUACAGCUCUCGCAGCUCCACGGUCGAAAAUGCACAGGGGUAAAAGAAGCGCUCAAAUGCCGGAUAUGCCACCACCCCCUUCUCCACCAGCCGGUUUCCCUAGCCCUAUGGCGCAUUCCGUCCGAAUUGUUAGGCAAACACCUCCUCAAGGUCCUCCAGAUGGUGCUCCAAAAGACCACCCAAAUGGUCCACCGCCAUCGAUGAUUGAUCAGGAUGUCCACUUGGCCUAACGAUACAACACCAGCACUCGAAAUCAUUAUGAAAAACUCGGCUCAAAAGAAUAGAAAAGUCGUACUAAGCGUUAAGCAAUAAGUUGGUGGAAAACCGCAUAGUCAUGGAUAUAGUAUACAGAUGAACAAGGUUCAACUAAUGUGUUAUGUAUAUUUUUUAAUUUGCCCAAUAUAAUCAAUCAAUCCAAA